This 71-nucleotide transfer RNA is filed under the name Capra hircus (goat). It matches the Rfam family "tRNA". Rfam says of the family: Transfer RNA (tRNA) molecules are approximately 80 nucleotides in length. Their secondary structure includes four short double-helical elements and three loops (D, anti-codon, and T loops). Lineage: Eukaryota; Metazoa; Chordata; Mammalia; Artiodactyla; Bovidae. The record is from Rfam by way of RNAcentral. RNAcentral also lists the same sequence under 1 other name.
UCCCAGCUGGCUCAGAGGGUAAAGAACCUGCCUGCCACGCAGGAGGCCCGGUUCGAUCCCUGGGUUGGGAA